GGAUUGAACGCUGGCGGCAUGCCUUACACAUGCAAGUCGAACGGCAGCACGGGAGCAAUCCUGGUGGCGAGUGGCGAACGGGUGAGUAAUACAUCGGAACGUGCCCAAUCGUGGGGGAUAACGCAGCGAAAGCUGUGCUAAUACCGCAUAAGAUCUACGGAUGAAAGCAGGGGAUCGCAGGACCUUGCGCGAAUGGAGCGGCCGAUGGCAGAUUAGGUAGUUGGUGAGGUAAAGGCUCACCAAGCCUUCGAUCUGUAGCUGGUCUGAGAGGACGACCAGCCACACUGGGGCUGAGACACGGCCCAGACUCCUACGGGAGGCAGCGAGUGGGGAAUUUGGACAAGUGGCGAAAGCCUGAUCCAGCCAUGCCGCGUGCAGGAUGAAGGCCUUCGGGUUAGUAAACGUGUCGUUUUGUAACGGAACGAAACGGUCGUAGGUUAAUACCGUCGGACUAAGUGACGGUACGUAAGAAUAAGCAACCGGUACAACGUACGUGUA
This 498-nucleotide ribosomal RNA is filed under the name uncultured soil bacterium. Its description in RNAcentral is "bacterial SSU rRNA". It matches the Rfam family "Bacterial small subunit ribosomal RNA", at positions 27 to 534 of the family's 1533-position model. The record is from RNAcentral.